This 559-nucleotide ribosomal RNA is filed under the name Daphnia carinata. RNAcentral's name for it is "partial 12S ribosomal RNA". The stretch from base 192 to 559 matches the Rfam family "Microsporidia small subunit ribosomal RNA", at positions 752 to 1278 of the family's 1311-position model. Lineage: Eukaryota; Metazoa; Arthropoda; Branchiopoda; Diplostraca; Daphniidae. The record is from RNAcentral.
GGUUAGACGAAGAAUCUAAGUAGAAUAGUUUAUUAUUUUAAUUAACAGUAAAUACUUUAAAGUGAAUUUAUUUAUUUUUUUGGGUGAAAUUUAUAUAAAUGAACAAAAAAUCUUAUGUUAUUUAGAGGAAUUAGUAAGUGAAGAUAAAAAACCAGGAUUAGAUACCCUGUUAUUCUUUAUAAUAUAUAAUAGGGUAGUAAAAGUUAUUCUUCAAACCCAAAGAUUUUGGCGGCAUUCUAACCAAACAGAGGAGCUUGUUUUAUAAUCGAUAAUCCUCGUUUAAUCUUACCUUUAUUUGUUUAGCUUGUAUACCUCCGUUGUCAGAUUACUUUAAAAGAAUGUUUUCUAUAAAAAUUAUUUUUUUACUUCAGGUCAAGGUGCAGUUUAUAUAAAGGAAAUAAUGAGCUACAAUUUUUAUUAAAAACGGAUUUCAAUUUAAAAUUUGAUUGAAGGUGGAUUUGUUAGUAAACUUUUUUAAGAAAAAAAGAUUGAAUCAGGCAAUAGAAUGUGUACAUAUCGCCCGUCACUCUCCUUUUAAGAGGAGAUAAGUCGUAACAAA